Trichechus manatus latirostris (Florida manatee) is the source of this 467-nucleotide long non-coding RNA. RefSeq lists it as uncharacterized. The record is from RefSeq and is a predicted model, not a curated record. The transcript has 3 exons. Lineage: Eukaryota; Metazoa; Chordata; Mammalia; Sirenia; Trichechidae.
CUCUGCAGCGGCUCUUCGCUAAGCCUUUAGGGGGGAGGGAAGGAGGGGGGCGGGAGGAACUGGGGUUCUCGGGAGCACGAGCUGCAGCACCACUUCCGGUAAACGCCGCCCCUCCCGCACUCUGGCUCUGGAGCUGCCGCAGCCGUCGCCGCCGGAAAGUUCUGGAGCCCUGGAAAGGAGAAGGAAUAAAACGGCAGGAGGAAGAGAGAGAGAGGGUAAGAAAUGUUGGGUCAGUGGUUUUUCUUUGGGGGGAAGAGGUGUUAUAGUCACAUGGGUUUGUUUUUGACAAUGUGGCAGAAUUCUUCAAGUAAUAGGAUUUAUAGUAGUGGUGUUUGCCUUUCUCCCACCUGUUAUCUCUUGAGGAUACCAGGAAGUACUUGUGUAAAAAGUUGGUGCUGUACCUCUAUCACCUUCCUUCCCCAUCAGGACUCACGUAGAAUGAAAUGUGAAAUGCUUAGGUGAAAUCA